This 404-nucleotide ribosomal RNA is filed under the name uncultured bacterium. Its description in RNAcentral is "bacterial SSU rRNA". It matches the Rfam family "Bacterial small subunit ribosomal RNA", at positions 376 to 783 of the family's 1533-position model. The record is from RNAcentral.
CGAAAGCCUGACGGAGCAAGACCGCGUGGGGGAAGAAGGCUCUUGGGUUGUAAACCCCUUUUCUCUGGGAAGAAAGUUGUGAAAGCAACCUGACGGUACCAGAGGAAUCAGCAUCGGCUAACUCCGUGCCAGCAGCCGCGGUAAGACGGAGGAUGCAAGCGUUAUCCGGAAUGAUUGGGCGUAAAGCGUCCGCAGGUGGCAGUUCAAGUCUGCUGUCAAAGACCGGGGCUUAACUUCGGAAAGGCAGUGGAAACUGAACAGCUAGAGUAUGGUAGGGGCAGAGGGAAUUCCUGGUGUAGCGGUGAAAUGCGUAGAGAUCAGGAAGAACAUCGGUGGCGAAGGCGCUCUGCUGGACCAUAACUGACACUCAGGGACGAAAGCUAGGGGAGCGAAUGGGAUUAGAU